UGGCAAUGAUGUAGGAAUUUCUUCAUCUGAAAUUACUGUGGAGAGUAAAAUCCGAGCUUUUUAACACUGAGCCAC
Small nucleolar RNA from Prolemur simus (greater bamboo lemur), 75 nucleotides. The record is from Ensembl. NCBI's taxonomy places the organism in Eukaryota, Metazoa, Chordata, Mammalia, Primates, Lemuridae.